Molecule: long non-coding RNA, 1333 nt
Filed under: Vulpes vulpes (red fox)
Lineage: Eukaryota; Metazoa; Chordata; Mammalia; Carnivora; Canidae
Description: lncRNA (ENSVVUG00000000178.1)
Source: RNAcentral
AUUGUAUUUCUAUUAGUCAGCACUUGUAUGGAGAAGAGAGAUUUUUUAAAUGCCUUAAAGGAGAAGAAGCUUUUGCUUCUUGGGCUACCCAGAAAGCUAGCCAGCUGCUAGUCCUUCAUCAGGAAAAUGGCAGUGUCAAUGUGCUGUAGUCAGCCCCUGAUGUCACAUUUUGCUGCUUGUGACUUACUGUGUUUGACCCAUCUCAGCUGCUCCAUAAAUAUGUGUUGAAUUGAUAUUGACUUACAGUUGCAUUUCACUGGCUUAUGAAUCAGGAAUUUUGAGUCCUGCCUUCAGCUCUGCCUCUAACUAGCUCUGUGACCUUGCACAAAUCACAUCCCCUUUACUUGUCUCAGUUUUUCCCUUUGUAAAAUGAGGGAAUUUAAUAUGGUGAUUAAAUAAUCUCCAGUUCAGACAUGCUGUGGUUCUAUCGUGUGGCUCUACCUGGCAGUUAGAAUUUCCAUUUCUAAAGUGGCACAGAAGUUUUUACUCUAAUCAAGAUGACUUUAGUUUGCAUGCGUCUGCCCCCUGUGACUGAUUAUUCCUUUUUUCGUGAAUAUGUUAACACAGUCAGCUUCUGGAACCUGCAAGGAACCACCCUUCUGUGAUCCUUACCUGUGGCUGUGCACAGGUGGUGCUUUGUGAUGCCAAACACCCCAGGGCUACCAUUGGCUGGAGGAAUUUCCUGCUGACCAAUCAAAGCUAAAGGGCGUGGCUCCCCAUUGUCCCUGGAGGGUAUAUAAAGGGCUCAGGGGCCCUGGAGAGGGCCAGUGUUGCUACAGCAUGGCGGAGGUUAUUGAGGCAGUGCUGGGGUCUAAUUCAGAUGCUGAAAACAAAACCGAAACCACAGAUGUAAAGGAAGUUCCAGAAAUCAAAGAGAGGAAGACCCCUUGUCAAUCAAAGGACAAAGAACGUGAGAAGGUGCGGAAGAUACUUGCAAAAGUUAAAUCGGCCCUUCAGGACAACGUAGAAAAGCGUAAGAAAGGAAGGAAAUCGACCAUACUGGUCUGUUACCGCAGACACAGCAAAAUGAAGACUGAAAAUCAGCUGAAGAUGAAGACGGAGGAAGAAAGCCUGUCCCCACUCUGGGCAACACCCUAUGCCUGCCAGGGGCCAAAGAUCUCAAAGUAGCUGGUACCUCCCCAGAAAAAGCACUGGCGAGACGGAUGCUUAGGUAGAGAUCAAAAUUUUCACGGUGGUCACCUGUGAGGAGACCAAAUGAAGUGCACGGAUAUUGAUUAAAACAACAAGUUGCAAAUGGAGAUGUGUGUAUGUGUCUUUGUGUUCUCUGAUGGUGAGAGGGGAAAGGAAAGGGGCAAGUGUAUGAAAAGGGAGG